This 689-nucleotide long non-coding RNA is filed under the name Helianthus annuus (common sunflower). Its description in RNAcentral is "sRNA HanXRQr2_Chr16g0776911". Lineage: Eukaryota; Viridiplantae; Streptophyta; Magnoliopsida; Asterales; Asteraceae. The record is from RNAcentral.
UGCAUCUUCCAUUAUAUCAUAAACAUGAACAUUAUUAUAAUAAAUUUAAUAUGACCAUGUCAUAUUCUUGCAAAGGCUUCCCUUUUUAUCUCAUAAACUUGCCACAACUAGCUUAACAUCCACACCUUUCUGAACAGCAAACAGAGAACACUCUCACUCGAAAUUACAUAUAUGUCCUUGCGGGUAGUCUAAUUUACGACCCUACAGUUCUUUCUGACCUCUUGACCACCUGUAAUGCUACUCAUCUUGAUCAUGGAGUUUACAAAUGCAUUUGUGAAUGCGUAUUUUGAACCCGCAAACUUUGCUGCCAGAUUUCUAGUUUUCGGCAAAUCAAGCAAAGCUUUAUCCGAAGAAAAUAAGACUUUUUUUUGGAAAAUAAGUUUGUAGUAUUUAUUAUCGAAACUUGUAGAAGAAGGAUCCAUUGGAACUCCUGCGUUCUUUGCGUUUUUGACUGGACAAAUUUUCUUUAAACUUGCGGCAAAUGAAGGGUUGAGUGACGGGUCAACAUCAGUUACUGAGUUGAAGUUGUGGAUUCGGCUUUUGAAUGAUGAGCAAUGGGAGAAACCAAGAGUAUGACCACCUGAAAACAAGUGCCACUAGGUCAUCUAGAGAUAGACCUCUUUGAGCAAAGCUUUUUUGAAGUUGGGAUAUAUUGAAGGUAGGAAAGGGGAGUUGUAAUGUUUCACUUG